AUGGCAUCGGCGGAGGAGCAAGUCUUCCUUGGAUCGAGGAACCUGUCGUAUCACAGCGCCCACUACCCCGACGCUAGCGCCGAUUGGGAUUACCCGGAAGACCCAGGCGACCGGCGGAACGGGGUGGAGGUUGCCGAACUCCAUGACCAGCCGGCGCGCAUGAGCACCCCAGAUUCAGAUCCAUGUGAAGUCGCCAGGCGUGCCUUGGACCUCAUGUUCCCGCGGGAGGAGGACAGCGAUGACGUCUGGAGCACCUGGAGCGCGCGAGAGGAGGGCAGUGAUGACGAUGAUGAACAAGGAGGGGAAGAAGGCGAUGGUAGCACACAGGAGAGCAGCGAUUAUGAAGACGACGGCGGCAAUUGCCAAGUGAUACUAGCCGAGACAAACUGUCCAGGAAAGCUCUACCCCAAGAGCCAAGCAGAUGACAUAGAUGACAAAUGGGUACAUAGGUACUCCCAACAGCUUAAAGAACACGAGAAGCUGUGCAGCGAGAUUAUGGCUCUGGGAGUUUAUGAUGAUGAUUAUGAGUAUGAUUAUGAUGAUGAUGAUGCUCCUCCUUGCCCCGUCUAUCCCAUGAGAGUGUUCCCUGACGCAACAGGUGCCUGCGUCCUUGGGCUCAACUGCCACCAUCGUGUCUACAGGACCCAUGACACUUCUACCACCCCAUCAACUCUUGGAAAGCGCACACCAAGUUAUAUGCUACAAUUAUUCUGCAUGCGUCUAUCAAGCUUUGAACCCUUGUAUCCCAUUAGUGUGUAUGGAAUAUUUGCCAUUCGGGAUUACUUGGACCCGCGACGGAACUACGUCUUUAACCGUCCCAGGGAUGACGCUGUCACGAUUGAAAAGAAGGGUUCCUUUGUCAUACCACUUUGUAGCCCUUGUCGAGGAAUGUAUUUGUUGGAUAAGGCUUUAGUAGAAGUUGAUCUUUGGGUAAAGAAAGAAGGGGAUGAAUCAGAUGACAAGCAACUACUUUCUGCAUAUGCUGAGAUUGAUGUACGGACUGAAGCUGAUCUCAUGCUUUAUGAACGGAUUUCUGGUGAUAAUUGCAAUUUGGACUUGAAAUAUAUAGUCCUUUCAGAAAGUGUUGAGGCUGUAAUACAAGUAUAUGCAAAGGUCAGCCAUCCUCACCAUGUGUUGUUCACUGCUUUUAGCACCGAAUAUGAUAACUAUCCUCUUCGUGGGGUUGUGCUGUUUGAUGACAAAUUAUUUGGUGAGGAAAAACUAUUCAAGCAUGUUGUCGCGGUGAAAGCAAAUGAAGAACUGCAUGUUUUUUUAGAAGUGAACGGUUCAGUGUUCAAGUGGACUUUUCAAGAUGAACAUGUUGGACCUGUUGUUUCUCCUGAUGACUCAAUCUUGGACUAUGGCCAGUUCUUCGUGAGGGUGUUGUUUGCUCCAAAGGAUUGUGAGUGA
RNAcentral lists this ribosomal RNA (1410 nucleotides) under Triticum aestivum (bread wheat). RNAcentral describes it as "partial small subunit ribosomal RNA". The record is from RNAcentral. Lineage: Eukaryota; Viridiplantae; Streptophyta; Magnoliopsida; Poales; Poaceae.